CAAUAGCGUAUAUUAAAGUUGUUGCGGUUAAAAAGCUCGUAGUUGGAGUUCUGCCAGGUGACACUCGUCCGCCCAAGUGGUGUGUACAGGGUGUGCAUCUGGCCCUUUCAAGGGGAACGUGUCUGCACUUCAUUGUGUGGUGCGAGAUCCUUGACUUUUACUUUGAGGAAAUAAGAGUGUUCCAAGCAGGCUCUCGUCGUGCAUAGCUCAGCAUGGAAUAAUAGCAUUGGACUUCGUUUCUACGCUGUUGGUUGCAAGAAGCGAGGUAAUGAUGAAGAGGGAUAGUUGGGGGCAUUCGUAUUUAACUGACAGAGGUGAAAUUCUUGGAUUUGUUAAAGACGGACUACUGCGAAAGCAUCUGCCAUGGAUGUUUUCAUUGA
RNAcentral lists this ribosomal RNA (380 nucleotides) under uncultured eukaryote. RNAcentral's name for it is "partial 18S ribosomal RNA". It matches the Rfam family "Eukaryotic small subunit ribosomal RNA", at positions 592 to 976 of the family's 1831-position model. The record is from RNAcentral.